RNAcentral lists this ribosomal RNA (253 nucleotides) under uncultured bacterium. RNAcentral describes it as "partial 16S ribosomal RNA". It matches the Rfam family "Bacterial small subunit ribosomal RNA", at positions 524 to 776 of the family's 1533-position model. The record is from RNAcentral.
UACGUAGGGGGCUAGCGUUGUCCGGAUUUAUUGGGCGUAAAGAGCGUGUAGGCGGCCAGGUAGGUCUGGUGUGAAAACUCGAGGCUUAACCUCGAGAUGUCAUCGGAAACCAUCUGGCUAGAGUCCGGAAGAGGAGAGUGGAAUUCCUGGUGUAGCGGUGAAAUGCGCAGAUAUCUGGAGGAACACCGGUGGCGAAGGCGGCGUUCUGGACUGUUUCUGACACUGAAAAACGAAAGCCAGGGGAGCAAACGGG